Molecule: ribosomal RNA, 512 nt
Filed under: Chryseobacterium sp.
Lineage: Bacteria; Pseudomonadati; Bacteroidota; Flavobacteriia; Flavobacteriales; Weeksellaceae
Description: bacterial SSU rRNA
Rfam family: Bacterial small subunit ribosomal RNA
Source: RNAcentral
CUGCCUUUAUCUGGGGGAUAGCCUUUCGAAAGGAAGAUUAAUACCCCAUAAUAUUUUGAAUGGCAUCAUUUAAAAUUGAAAACUCCGGUGGAUAGAGAUGGGCACGCGCAAGAUUAGAUAGUUGGUAGGGUAACGGCCUACCAAGUCAGUGAUCUUUAGGGGGCCUGAGAGGGUGAUCCCCCACACUGGUACUGAGACACGGACCAGACUCCUACGGGAGGCAGCAGUGAGGAAUAUUGGACAAUGGGUGAGAGCCUGAUCCAGCCAUCCCGCGUGAAGGACGACGGCCCUAUGGGUUGUAAACUUCUUUUGUACAGGGAUAAACCUUUCCACGUGUGGAAAGCUGAAGGUACUGUAUUUUAUAAGCACCGGCUAACUCCGUGCCAGCAGCCGCGGUAAUACGGAGGGUGCAAGCGUUAUCCGGAUUUAUUGGGUUUAAAGGGUCCGUAGGCGGAUCCGUAAGUCAGUGGUGAAAUCUCAUAGCUUAACUAUGAAACUGCCAUUGAUACUGC